AGGACGAACGCUGGCGGCGUGCUUAACACAUGCAAGUCGAGCGGUAAGGCCCUUUGGGGUACACGAGCGGCGAACGGGUGAGUAACACGUGGGUGACCUGCCCUCUACUCUGGGAUAAGCCUGGGAAACUGGGUCUAAUACCGGAUAUGACUCAUGAUCGCAUGGUUGUGGGUGGAAAGUUUGUUCUUAAUUGGACACUUCGGUGGGGGAUGGGCCCGCGGCCUAUCAGCUUGUUGGUGGGUGAUGGCCUACCAAGGCGACGACGGGUA
Molecule: ribosomal RNA, 269 nt
Filed under: uncultured bacterium
Lineage: Bacteria
Description: partial small subunit ribosomal RNA
Rfam family: Bacterial small subunit ribosomal RNA
Source: RNAcentral